This 72-nucleotide transfer RNA is filed under the name Hypnocyclicus thermotrophus. It matches the Rfam family "tRNA". From Rfam's summary of the family: Transfer RNA (tRNA) molecules are approximately 80 nucleotides in length. Their secondary structure includes four short double-helical elements and three loops (D, anti-codon, and T loops). Lineage: Bacteria; Fusobacteriati; Fusobacteriota; Fusobacteriia; Fusobacteriales; Fusobacteriaceae. The record is from Rfam by way of RNAcentral.
GGCGACGUCGCCAAGUGGUAAGGCAGAGGUCUGCAAAAUCUCUAUUCACCAGUUCGAAUCUGGUCGUCGCCU